AUUGAACGCUGGCGGCAGGCUUAACACAUGCAAGUCGAGCGGGGAAGUAUAGCUUGCUAUACGACCUAGCGGCGGACGGGUGAGUAAUGCUUAGGAAUCUGCCCAUUCGCGGGGGACAACAUUCCGAAAGGAAUGCUAAUACCGCAUACGCCUUAAGGGGGAAAGCAGGGUAUCAUAUGCACUUGCGCCUAUCGAUGAGCCUAAGUCAGAUUAGCUAGUUGGUGGGGUAAAGGCCUACCAAGGCGACGUUCUGUAGCGGGUCUGAGAGGAUGAUCCGCCACACUGGGACUGAGACACGGCCCAGACUCCUACUGGAGGCAGCAGUGGGGAAUAUUGGACAAUGGGCGAAAGCCUGAUCCAGCCAUGCCGCGUGUGUGAAGAAGGCCUUUUGGUUGUAAAGCACUUUAAGCGAGGAGGAGGCUACUUGGAUUAAUACUCUAGGAUAGUGGACGUUACUCGCAGAAUAAGCACCGGCUAACUCUGUGCCAGCCGCCGCGGUAA
Molecule: ribosomal RNA, 501 nt
Filed under: uncultured bacterium
Lineage: Bacteria
Description: partial 16S ribosomal RNA
Rfam family: Bacterial small subunit ribosomal RNA
Source: RNAcentral